Molecule: ribosomal RNA, 433 nt
Filed under: uncultured bacterium
Lineage: Bacteria
Description: partial 16S ribosomal RNA
Rfam family: Bacterial small subunit ribosomal RNA
Source: RNAcentral
AGCGAGCGCUGGCGGCAGGCUUAACACAUGCAAGUCGAGCGGGCCCUUCGGGGUCAGCGGCAGACGGGUGAGUAACGCGUGGGAACGUGCCCUUCGGUUCGGAAUAACUCAGGGAAACUUGAGCUAAUACCGGAUACGCCCUUAUGGGGAAAGGCUUGCUGCCGAAGGAUCGGCCCGCGUCUGAUUAGCUAGUUGGUGAGGUUAUGGCUCACCAAGGCGACGAUCAGUAGCUGGUCUGAGAGGAUGAUCAGCCACACUGGGACUGAGACACGGCCCAGACUCCUACGGGAGGCAGCAGUGGGGAAUAUUGGACAAUGGGGGCAACCCUGAUCCAGCCAUGCCGCGUGAGUGAUGACGGCCUUAGGGUUGUAAAGCUCUUUUCUCCGGGACGAUAAUGACGGUACCGGAGGAAUAAGCCCCGGCUAACUUCGUG